UACGGAGGAUGCGAGCGUUAUCCGGAUUUAUUGGGUUUAAAGGGUGCGUAGGCGGGAUGCCAAGUCAGCGGUAAAAAUGCGGUGCUCAACGCCGUCGAGCCGUUGAAACUGGCGUUCUUGAGUGGGCGAGAAGUAUGCGGAAUGCGUGGUGUAGCGGUGGAAUGCAUAGAUAUCACGCAGAACUCCGAUUGCGAAGGCGGCAUACCGGCGCCCUACUGACGCUGAGGCACGAAAGCGUGGGUAUCGAACAGG
RNAcentral lists this ribosomal RNA (252 nucleotides) under uncultured bacterium. RNAcentral's name for it is "partial 16S ribosomal RNA". It matches the Rfam family "Bacterial small subunit ribosomal RNA", at positions 524 to 776 of the family's 1533-position model. The record is from RNAcentral.